UGAAUAUGGUCAAAAUAUGGUAAAGACGCAAACGACAUACACAAGUGAAAAUAAGAAGGCUGCGCAAGGUAAGCGAUGUGUUAAAGGUGAUUUUGCGGGGCUAAAAGAACGCGAAGAUAUAAUCGUUAUGUUAUACAAAUAUAAACGCUGGGAAUAUUUUUAUGUACUGCGUAAGUAUUCAGUGUAAUCUUGUCAAAUUUGGAACGUGGGCUAAACCUUGGUCUGCAGAAAAGUGCAAAAUUGGCCUGAAAUUAGCCACUCAUUACCUAUAUAUGUAUAGCUAGUAAAGAUUUGAGCAUGGAGGCACAGCAAAGUGACGAGCGAUCCCGAAACGCGUGUUCGGGUGUGAUACGGCCGACAAAAACAUAUGCUCAUUCUUAUAAAAAUAUUUGGUGUGAGAACGAUCAUCGUUGUUAUGAAUUGCCACCUUGCAAUGUGUCCUCGACCACAGAGGUGCACCAUCCGGCAAGUUAAUCAAUAUUAUAAGAUAAUAAAAAAUAGUGAUUUUAAUAAUGAAAUAGGCUGUCGACGGGUACCUUGUGCUAAACGGAAAUUAGAUAAGCAAAACACCACACAUGCUGAAUACGAGUAAUUCCUUGUAUAGUUUAGUAUAACAGAAAUAAUCAUAAAGCUUAUAUACGAUAAGUGGUCAUACGAGAUGUGAUGUGUAGUAGUUUAAACAAGAUCAUCGACCAGAACUAGAUAUUUAUAAAUAUAUCAUAACAAACAACAGGUCUAUAUCGCAAAGGAAAAUAGUGUGAUUCAGUUUUUAUGCGAUGUCACAUGCUCGAUGUACAUCGAUACGUAUUUCCGGUGUGUACCCUGCAAACGGCACAUCUUUGAUACGGAGAAGGCACCCUCGAAAUUAUGUAAUUUGCAUCACAGAAAGAGAAAUUUCAUUCGAUAACAUUUUUGCGGGUAUCAAGUAUAUAUAGCAUAUGAGCGAACUUUAUUCAGUUGGUAUUAAGACAUUUAAUGGUAACCAAAAUAUCGUAAGUAUUCUCUGUUCUUAUAGGAAGGGGUUGAGUAAAGAACAAGUUCGAGGGUCUCAAGUAUGAGUGUAAUAGAAUUCAUCCAUGUAAACAUCUGUCAAUGAAACCAUUUCUCCCGGACUAAGACUAAAAGUUCAGAAAGCAUCGAUAUUUGCCGUCAAGUGAACAUUCAUGCCGAUGAAAGCUAUUUAAAAAAAAAAAAAAAAAUAUAUAUAUAUAUAUAUAUAUAUGAAUGAGAUAUAUAUGAAUGAGAGAGCGAUAGCAAUCGAGAGAACACUCUCGUGAAAUGGAGAAUCUUACUGUGCGGAUAAACUGAGUUGAUGUGUGCGAUAUUGGCGUUACAUUGAUGGGGCUGUCUGACCGAUAUGGACGAGUCCGUCCCUAGUCGGCUCGGAAAAUACAGUCUAUAAUAGCAAUGACCGGCAUGUUACAUAGUUGGUAUGUGGGUGUUGACAAGGAACGAAAUUCAAUAUGUCAUACGGAAGAUUUCAGCUGUUCAGCUAUAGCGGAUAACUAUAAGUCAGUGCAUAAAAUGACCACUGGAUCAGUUGUUGUAUAUAUUUAAUACGGUCACUACAAUUAAGAAAUAUGAUGCAUACACAUUAGAGAUCGUAUCGAUGCGUUCAUUAUCGUUGUGCGAGGUAUAUUUAAUUGGGAACGAAUGGGCAAUAAUUCUUUCGCAGUUUACGUUUAUUGCACGAAAACCUUUCGUAGACGACGUGCAAUUGCAUGGGGGUAUACAAAAUGAUGGGAUGGUUGAAAAACUAGCAGACACGAUAACUUGAACUAACUUCUCCCCCAGAAAACAAAAGCAUGGGGUGAAUUGUUUAGGUAUCAUGUAGAAUGAGCCCGGCUCGCCCAGGUCAUCUCCAUUAUAUACAUUGCUCUUUUGUAGGAGGUAAACCCGUUUGUGUUUGACUUCAUUAUUUUCAAUAACACAUAGAUAAAUAUAACUAAAUGGAUAAAUAAAUAUUUGUAAAUAUUUCGAUUUCACAUGAUAAUUUAUCCUUUCUUCUCAUAUUUGCAUUUGCAAGUGUCUAAUUAUUACACUAUCAAAAACAUGAUUCCUUUAUAAGGAAAUGAUCCUGUUUCAUUGCUAUCUCGAAAGCCAACAAUACUAUACAUAUCUGCAAGCUAGUGGACAUUAUCCUCCACGCCGCUGACGUACGUGGACAUAUAUCUGUAUAGUAUAUGUAUGUGAGAGCAAAGCUAAUAGCUUUCUUGUCCUUCCAGGCGAUGGUGAUAGUCCCGGAAAGGUUCAUGCAAAUUCGACUCGAUUCCAAUUGAGCAGGGGAUUAUGUGUUGUUGCAACACUAAUAGUUAUCUUCAUACUCUGGUGUCGAUGGUGAUUAUGACGGUUAUGGCGAGAACGUGAAUCCAGCAGAGAUGCUUGGCAGUCUCGUGGCCUCAUCGGAGAAGCAACCCUUUACCGUAGUGAAACGCGCAGACGGCGAACGCGUCUACGUCUGCGACGUAUGCGGCUACGAAACUCGAUACAAAAAUGUCGUUACUGACCACGUGCGAAAACAUACCGGCGAACGACCGUUUGCAUGUCCAUACUGCUCGUUCCGGUGCUCCCAGAAGCCUAAUUGGCGACGACACAUACGACGAAUACACGUUGGCAAGCCAUACUACUUGAACGACCCCGGGUCACUACCCCGAGAGCGUGCGUCCCUUCUCGGAGCCGCAGCUCAAGCGGCGCGAAAAAGCCUCCUACAAACUGAAUUCAGCUGCUCAAUGUGCGAGUACACAUCGAACGUUCCAGGAGCCGACCUUGUUCACAUGUCAAUGCAUCUGAAUGACACUAUUUAAUCUGAUCUCGUAAACGAUAUUGUUCAACCCAAGUCAUUUGGCCUCUGUUUUCUACGGACAGGGCUAGGUGUUUUCUCAAUGGUUGGGCCGAGUUUGUUCGAUAACUGUAUUUCCACAGUAGCACAAACCGAAGCGAGACCAACUACGUACUACAUGAAAAGAAUCACAAAUUAUUUACACACCUCACACAUGUUGUAUCAGUCCGUUUUGGAAAGAGCUCAAUACCCCUUGUUAUAUCAUCGAUCGUAAGAAGCCUGGUACUGUUUUCAACAGGUGUUGAAUAUUGUUGACAGCCUUCGACCUUAGACCGUAACACAAAAAGACUGAUUGAGAUAAUAUUAUGUUGAGUGGCAAACACAACUUAAAGGUGUGGAGGCAAAGGACAUGUUGUAUAUCUAAUGUUUCCGACUCUGGAUUUUGUUUCUCGUUGUCAGUCAACAACGCUAAGAUCGGAUCUUACAGGAAACCAGUCGAGAGAAGUUCUCGGUGCAGUACCAUGGCAGUUCUUUGCAGAUCAGAUUCAACGAGGUAGAAAACACAGAUUUCCAUAUUAGUUUUCAGUAAAGCGUAUCUACGUACAUAUACUCUUCGAAGCAAAAACGAUAUAAUUUACAUCGGCGAGAGCAUAAAGAACAAACAAAGUUUUUGUUGGAAGACGAUUGAGAAUGAUGUAUCUGAAGAGUGAGAUGUUUCGUAAAUGCCCGGUGAAAAGGAACGAAUUCAGGACGAGAUCCGUCUACAAGAACAUCAGUGUUUUUCGUUGUGCAAGACGGACACAGAGAUAAACAGAUUGUAACUUUACAAUUUAUAUCAUAUAUUUUCAUUAACUUCACACAGAAGAUGCCGUGCAUUUGCUCAGCCAGUGCUGUUUAUAUAGGUAAUCAACAACAAAUUGAAGAGAAUAUAUUCAUGAAGAAGGACAUUGAUUGUCAGGCCUCAACAUAUCUAUGUCGGGUUUUGACUUCGUGUUCGAAAACGAAUCUAGUCGAUUGAUUCCGGUGCGAACAAGUUCACACGUACUUUGUCUGAAGAGCUAUUACGACUGUAACUUAAUCUCAACCUGUAACUCUAAUGUGACGGGUUUACAUUGAUGGCAAGAACUUGCCGUGCUCUCCGCCACGAUACAAUAAGAAAGCAGAUGCUAGCGGUGAGAAUUCCAUUUCGUUUGGCUGUAGUAGCUGUCGUGUGGAAUUCACAGAUGUAUCUCAAAGCCAUUCAUUUAUAUAUACACAUAUUAUAUAUAUAUAUAGGAGACCACUAUGGAAAAGUAAACCAAACACUUAUUGACAUUGAUGAUUAUAAAGACAUAUCAUAUUUAUAAAGUGAAAGGACAAACAUAUAGUCAUAUUAUCACACAGAGGUCACUUGCUUGAGCGAAACUGACCAUCACAGUAUAUUAACUCUGACAUAUAUAUAUAUAUAUAUAUAUAUAUAUAUAUAUAUAUAUAGCGCAAACCCGUAUGGUUGAAUGUACAAUCAGCCUCGUUGGAAAAUGUCGUCAAGAAAUUAUGGCAUGUUCCAUAUAGUUGCAAAAAGACGCGGGCGACUUUUUGUUUACCUGAUGACAUUCCGCUAAUUAGAUGCUAAAAUAUUACCACCAUCAUCAUCAUUAUUAUUAUUAUUACUUGAUGUCACGAAUGGUGCGAAUUUUCGAAACUGUACCAGAAAUUCAUGUGCGAAACAAAGAGUCAACGCGAUACUUCGGACAGGUUGCCAAUUAAAGCUUUUUAUACAUACAGGGUGAUUUGAAAGUAACGCUUUUGUUUCUGAAGCAUAAAAAACUAGAAGAAUACGACAAAAUUAAAUAAACGUACUAGUGUUCAGUUUUUGAUACAAACUUCACAACCGUUACAUUUCUCCAACUACUGAGGAGGAUCGCACGAGAUCUCACGAUCGGGAUAUCAUACAACUAAUAUAUUUUGAUAUUGCCAUAUAUAUUAUAUAUAAAUAUAUAUAUUUAAUAUUAGAAAAAAUACGAUGCGACAUUAUAUUUUUAAUUGGGGUAACUGCUGUAUAGCAAUUAUAGAAACAGGUGUCAUACACAAUAUAAUGUCGUUAAGAUGAUCAUAAACACCAACGAGAUUGAAAGAAAAUUUAUAUUCUAGUCGGCAGGAGAAGAAAGAUAUUUUCUAAUGUACUGAUUUUUCAAUGAGUCGCGCCCAUUUUGUCAUAUUUUAUAUCGAAUAAAUAAAUAUAU
RNAcentral lists this long non-coding RNA (5001 nucleotides) under Varroa destructor (honeybee mite). RNAcentral describes it as "uncharacterized LOC111255561". The record is from RNAcentral. Lineage: Eukaryota; Metazoa; Arthropoda; Arachnida; Mesostigmata; Varroidae.